AUGCUAGCUACAUUGAGAAAGAUUGAAUUCCCAGUCAAAGGCUCAAUAAAUGCAUUCUCAAAAUCUCUGUCAUUGGCAUGUGUUACAAAUAAUGCAGGACCAAAUAACAGGUCACAUGGUAACUUCAAUGUUGAUUAUUCACCAUUCACAUUUAAUACUAUAGGACUUAAUUUAAGGACGGAAAAGAAGGUAGGAGAAAUAUUAUUUCAAGUCUUGCAUAUUCAAGAUGCAGCUAAUGUUGAAUUAUUACAAAAUUUAUUCAUCACGAAACAUAAUUAA
Non-coding RNA from Vicia faba (fava bean), 279 nucleotides. Lineage: Eukaryota; Viridiplantae; Streptophyta; Magnoliopsida; Fabales; Fabaceae. The record is from the annotation of a GenBank genome assembly.